Molecule: long non-coding RNA, 217 nt
Organism: Puntigrus tetrazona (Sumatra barb)
Lineage: Eukaryota; Metazoa; Chordata; Actinopteri; Cypriniformes; Cyprinidae
Exons: 4
Source: RefSeq, a predicted model, not a curated record
AUUUAGGACAUGUAAUUCAGUUGCUCUUUAUAAUCCACAGGAAAUAAGAAUUGUUGAGGUGCUGAAUAAACAUACUGGAAGAGUGAAUGCUGUCCAGUGGGUUCAUAAACAAGACUGCAGUGCAGAAACCCAGCUGGUCUCCGGUGGGUCGGAUAAUAGUGUUAUUGUCUGGGAGAAGCAGGAUGGGAAGUUCACAGCAUGUGCAGUGUGUUCCGGA